GGAGCUGGCCAUGCAGCCGCUGGCGGCCGGGGCUUGAGCCCCGCGCCGCGAGAGGAAAGUCCGGGCUCCACAGGACAGGGCGCCAGGUAACGCCUGGGAAGCGCGAGCUUACGGAAAGUGCAGCAGAGAGCAGACCGCCGCGAACCCCGAGGUUUGCGGUAAGGGUGAAAGGGUGCGGUAAGAGCGCACCGCGCGCGUGGUAACACGGGUGGCUAGGCAAACCCCGCCCGGAGCAAGGCCAAAUAGGAAUCCCGUGGCGUGGUCCGCGCCGGAUUCGGGUAGGCUGCUGGAGGUCUUCGGCGACGGAGACCCUAGAUGAAUGGCUGCACGCCGGAUGGCGGCGGGGCUUCGUUCCCGGCGCUCCGGCGACAGAACCCGGCUUAUCGGCCAGCUCUUUUC
RNAcentral lists this RNase P RNA (399 nucleotides) under Gammaproteobacteria bacterium. Its description in RNAcentral is "RNase P RNA component class A". It matches the Rfam family "Bacterial RNase P class A". From Rfam's summary of the family: Ribonuclease P (RNase P) is a ubiquitous endoribonuclease, found in archaea, bacteria and eukarya as well as chloroplasts and mitochondria. Its best characterised activity is the generation of mature 5'-ends of tRNAs by cleaving the 5'-leader elements of precursor-tRNAs. Cellular RNase Ps are ribonucleoproteins. The record is from RNAcentral. Lineage: Bacteria; Pseudomonadati; Pseudomonadota; Gammaproteobacteria.